RNAcentral lists this transfer RNA (69 nucleotides) under Cavia porcellus (domestic guinea pig). It matches the Rfam family "tRNA". From Rfam's summary of the family: Transfer RNA (tRNA) molecules are approximately 80 nucleotides in length. The record is from Rfam by way of RNAcentral. Lineage: Eukaryota; Metazoa; Chordata; Mammalia; Rodentia; Caviidae.
GGGGAUGUAGCUCAGUGGUAGAGCUCUUGUCUUACAUGCACAUGGUCCUGGGUUCAAUCCUCAGCACCA